UGGUGGUGAUGUCUAAACUCACGAUGGUCUUCAGAGUCCCUGCUGGUGAGGGGGCCUGCUGAUAGUGCCAGUGGCAAUUGCUGAACCAUAAUA
This is a non-coding RNA of Phaethon lepturus (White-tailed tropicbird), 93 nucleotides long. The record is from Rfam. NCBI's taxonomy places the organism in Eukaryota, Metazoa, Chordata, Aves, Phaethontiformes, Phaethontidae.